AACGAAAAAAGACCUACGAAGGUUAACCAGCGACGAAAAAACCUAAACCUAUCGCCCGCUCCCUCGCGCCCCUGUUGCUCCCUCCUCAAUCCCGAUCUGGAUCGAGGGGACGAGGAGCUCCUGCCUCCCCGACGGCCGGCCUCCUCCUCGCCCCGCCGCUGCAUCCGGCGCCGCCACGGGCUCUGGAGCCAGGGAAGCCAUGGCCUGAGCUCGGCCUCGAGGUCCCCCCGCCGUCUCCUGCAGCUUCUGCCCCGCCGCCUCAACGCCUGAGCUCGCCAUCACACCAACCUCGGCGCCGCGCCGCCGCCGGCUCUGGUCGCCUCCACCUCCGCUCCAGGCAACCCUCGGUCGCCGGCUCGCUGGAGCACGACGGCAGACGAUGGAUGCCCUGGUUGUGUGCGACGGUUGCAGUUCUUACGCGCAAGCUAGGGUUGGAGCCGCCAGCUCUUCAUCCUGCCCGCCGGCGGCGAGUCUUCCUGUCCCGCACUGCCGCCUCCCCGUUAUCACAGCAUGGUCAAAACAAUGGUGCCUUCACCCUUGCUCGUGCCUCAACCCACAUGGUCAUCUUUGAGACGUGGUAUUCAGUCACAUGACAGAGUUCUCUUUAUCCUUGAGGUCAGGUGCGGCAACUAGCGACAUGUGCUGGAACUUCUGGCUUCGCUGGCGGCGGCAUCACCUGCAUCGACCUCUCCCUGGUCGCCUUCGAGAGUGUGUGCGGCCGACCAUCAAGCUUGUUAUGACGCACUUUGAAUUUCCGAGCAAGUCGCAGCCUUUUCAGAUUCAUCAACACAGGUUACAUCGGUAGUCAAUAUGGUUCAGAUGCAUAAUAGUACGUACUUCAUUUCCUUUUUGUUGUGUACGGUGUCCUACAACAUGGAUCAUAUAUAUCGGUUAUCUUUCAGGUUCAGUUUGCUGUGGCGAAUUCUUCUUGAAUUUGUUGCAGCAAACUUGUGGUCAUGUAUGGUUUUUAGUUUUGCAAGCAUGCAUAGUUUAGAAGUUAGAAAGCUCGUUCAUGUAUUGUUCUAAACUGAAAGUUUAAGUGGCUUUUCCACCCAUGGUAUUGUGGUGGUCAUAAUAGCACACCUCACAAUUAUUAUGGCCAGAUCUACAAGCACUGAGCGUUGUGUUUUUUAGCCCCCUCUGUUUCUCCUGGGCAUCAAUCUAUGCGCAACAAGCUCUUCAGUGCUUGAUGACAAAUAAAGGUUGCAUCUUAGAUAUUUGCUUGAUUUGAAUGAGCCAUUUUGCUGUCAGCUAAACUGUUAAAAGUCAGAUGUAAGAUUAUGUUUCUUGGCACAUGAGUUAUUUUUCAGUCAACGCAUGGCGAGUCCACUUCGAACUGAUAUAUGCACUUUUUAUUUGAAACUGAACCACCAUGGUUUAAUUUUAUUUUCAUUUGGACAAGUUACCCCAAGUAUCAUCAGUUCAUGAUGACUGGUUUGGUGUGAUGAAUUGAUCCUGGUGCUGAUUUAAGA
This is a long non-coding RNA of Triticum dicoccoides, 1472 nucleotides long. RefSeq lists it as uncharacterized. Lineage: Eukaryota; Viridiplantae; Streptophyta; Magnoliopsida; Poales; Poaceae. The record is from RefSeq and is a predicted model, not a curated record. The transcript is spliced from 3 exons.